GUGGAACAUGAAAUUGAAAGUGAAGUGCCCAGAGUUUAAGAGAACGCCCUGCAGGCAGGGGGCAGAAUACACCUGUCACAGUGGGCUGUGGCUUCAGGAUGUCUGCAGUGAUCCAUGGGGUGGCGGCUGUUGGCAGGUUUCUUCGGGGGGUUAUCAAUAGGCUGAGGCCAAGCUCACACGAGGAAGAGUUCUACUGCGGCUAUGAGUGCACAGAAUGCCACAUCUACCGUGAGGAUGGUGAGCUCCACAGGUGAGUCCUGAGCCUGCCCCCUGGCAGGUGGAGACUGGCGGGUCUCAUGGUUCCCAAUCCCUGCCCAGGAGCGGGAGGAGCCCUGAAGCGUCUCAGCAACUUGGAGCCAGACCUUUCUUCACCCUUAUUAGCGCCCUUCCUCUGUGUCUGUUUUCCAGGAAGAGGUGUGUCUACUUUGGAAAGAAGAGAAGACAAAGAGAUGAGGACACCUCAAAUGGCAAGGGAAAUGUCAUCGAAGAUUUGCAGCUUCCAGUCUGCUCUCCGCUUCAGCCUGCGCUCUGCAACUGAGCCCGCUGGAUCUGCUGCUCCUCUAGUCAACAGAACAUGGGAAUUUGAGAUGGAUGUUAACAGAGAGGCCUGCCUAGGGCACAUGCGUCUGUGUGGGGGCACCCAUGCCUGGGGCCUUGGGGGACACCCUCCCUGUACCCCCCUGCACGUGAGCUCGUGGGUUGGAGGAACAAAUAUCUAGACGCUUAACCCUAACUCUUCAGUCACUGCUGCAUUUAAUAAACACGAGUGAGCAUUUCAUGUGUUCAAGACUCUCUUGCUGGCAGGAGGGGGACAAUGGGGAGCGUGACACAGUCUGUCCCCUCAAGGAAGUCCUGGGUCAGGAGAGAGGACGCCAUGGGCGGAGGUUCCCGCACACGGGGCAGCAUGAGGGACACACAGGAGGAGCACGGAGCUGCGUGAGAGUCACUCUGGCAGUGGCGCGGCAGGGAAGGGGACAGAGGGGACCAGGCCUGGCUGGGGAGGUGACAUCCGAGUGGGGCAUUAGAGGACAGUGACGGGUUCCUCUGUGUCACGAGGCCCCACACUGUGUGCAGGAGUUAUGGGGACAGUGGGCCACCCCCCAGACGAUCAGUCCUUACAUGUGCUGCUGCCACGGCUGGGACAGAACUCAGGAAGGUCCAGGGUGUCCGGAUCAGACAUCUCCAGGCGUGAGGCUAGUGUUGCACAGCGCUACUUGAAAAAUAUAAGGUCUCACUCCAGAGAGAGACGGCUGCGUCUAUGACUUGUGUGUUUACAGAGGAGAGUGUAAAUAAGGUUAUCCACGGAGAUCACCUGGCAUCCACGGUCACACUGUGACAGGUCACAGCAUCACCUGUCACGUGCUGGUGCUGUCUUGCUUUCCUUAGCUCCAGAAGGACUGCGAAGGUGUCUGCGGUUUUUAUUCGAUUGGGAUAUUUGGUUAAUAAAUACACAACAUG
RNAcentral lists this long non-coding RNA (1458 nucleotides) under Microcebus murinus (gray mouse lemur). RNAcentral describes it as "lncRNA (ENSMICG00000048676.1)". The record is from RNAcentral. Lineage: Eukaryota; Metazoa; Chordata; Mammalia; Primates; Cheirogaleidae.